RNAcentral lists this ribosomal RNA (497 nucleotides) under uncultured bacterium. RNAcentral's name for it is "partial 16S ribosomal RNA". It matches the Rfam family "Bacterial small subunit ribosomal RNA", at positions 28 to 507 of the family's 1533-position model. The record is from RNAcentral.
GAUGAACGCUGGCGGCGUGCCUAAUACAUGCAAGUCGAGCGAACGGACGAGAAGCUUGCUUCUCUGAUGUUAGCGGCGGACGGGUGAGUAACACGUGGAUAACCUACCUAUAAGACUGGGAUAACUUCGGGAAACCGGAGCUAAUACCGGAUGAUAUUUUUAACCGCAUGGUUCAAAAGUGAAAGAUGGUCUUGCUUUCACUUAUAGAUGUAUCCCCGCUGCAUUAGCUAGUUGUUAAGGUAACGGCUUACCAAGGCAACGAUGCAUAGCCGACCUGAGAGGGUGAUCGGCAAAACUGGAACUGAAACACGGUCCAGAAGCCAAAGGGAGGAAGAAGAAGGGAAUCUUCGGCAAUGGGCGAAAGCCGGACGGAGAAAGGCCGAGUGAGAGAUGAAGGUCUUCGGAUCGUAAAACUCUGUUAUUAGGGAAGAACAUAUGUGUAAGUAAAUGUGCACAAAUUGACGGUACCUAAUCAGAAAGCCACGGCUAACUACGUG